RNAcentral lists this transfer RNA (65 nucleotides) under Asymmetricata circumdata. Its description in RNAcentral is "tRNA-Met". The record is from RNAcentral. Lineage: Eukaryota; Metazoa; Arthropoda; Insecta; Coleoptera; Lampyridae.
AAAAAGAUAAGCUAAUUAAGCUUUUGGGUUCAUACCCCAACUAUAAAGACUUUCUUUUCUUUUUA